This 287-nucleotide long non-coding RNA is filed under the name Elaeis guineensis (African oil palm). RNAcentral's name for it is "long non-coding RNA (EGUI_LNC004481)". The record is from RNAcentral. Lineage: Eukaryota; Viridiplantae; Streptophyta; Magnoliopsida; Arecales; Arecaceae.
CACAAAGGCCCGUGCCACUACAAUUCUUGGCGACUGUCAAACAAUAAUAAAUGAAUAUUUUUUUAUUAUUUUUUCUUUCAAAUUGGAGCCAAUAUAUAGAUACAACUACAUCAUAGUAAUAGAAAACAAUCCUAUUCUAAGGAAACUUAAUAUUUCUAUACACAAGAUUUGACAACUGUACACAAUGACAACUAUACAUAAGAUUUGACAACUAUACACGAGAUUUGAUAACUAAUUUAUUUGACAACUAUACACAAGAUUUGACAACUAAUAGAAAUAAUCUGGCA